Molecule: ribosomal RNA, 122 nt
Filed under: Helianthus annuus (common sunflower)
Lineage: Eukaryota; Viridiplantae; Streptophyta; Magnoliopsida; Asterales; Asteraceae
Source: RNAcentral
GGUUGCGAUCAUACCAGCACUAAUGCACCGGAUCCCAUCAGAACUCCGCAGUUAAGCGUGCUUGGGCGAGAGUAGUACUAGGAUGGGUGACCCCCUGGGAAGUCCUCGUGUUGCAACCCCAC